This is a long non-coding RNA of Daucus carota subsp. sativus, 576 nucleotides long. RefSeq lists it as uncharacterized. The transcript has 3 exons. The record is from RefSeq and is a predicted model, not a curated record. Lineage: Eukaryota; Viridiplantae; Streptophyta; Magnoliopsida; Apiales; Apiaceae.
CUUGUUCGUUCAAUUUUUUUUCACCUUUUCGUUCUUUGAUACUUAGCAGGCAAUAUAUAUAACUCAUGGAGCAAUCUGUGUUUUUCUCCGUAACAAGUGUCUAAUGUCUAAUAAGAAGGGUGAAUCAUGAGCUGUUGGCUCUUGAAAAGCGCGCAUUGGACAUGUGAAUACUAGAGUAAGCGAGGAAGUUAUUUCGAGUCAUCUGAAGCAACAUAAGUAUGAAGUAUCUGCAACAUCUGAUUUGCAGGAGCUAAAACCUUGCUGCAUAUGUCAGGAUGAGUACAAUAAUGAUGAUGAUCUUGGAGAGCUAGUGCUGACAUAGUUUUCAUGUGGAGUGUAUCAAAGGAUGGUAACGCGCAAGAAUUUGUGCCCCAUUUGCAAGACAACGGCAAUGGGUGAGAAAGAAAAAGUGUAGAUCUUGGUUUCUCGUAUUAACCAUGUAGAAGUGACUAUGGGUUACGACGUAUCUCUCACUUGGAGUGGUUCUUUGAAUCAACUAAAUGAAGACUAUGUUUUACCCACAAGGGUGCUUUGCAUGAGAGAUUUGCAUGUGCCUCUUUCGUACUUUUUAUUUUU